UGCAGAAGAAGCGCCGGCUAACUACGUGCCAGCAGCCGCGGUAAUACGUAGGGCGCAAGCGUUGUCCGGAAUUAUUGGGCGUAAAGAGCUCGUAGGCGGCUUGUCACGUCGGAUGUGAAAGCCCGGGGCUUAACCCCGGGUCUGCAUUCGAUACGGGCUAGCUAGAGUGUGGUAGGGGAGAUCGGAAUUCCUGGUGUAGCGGUGAAAUGCGCAGAUAUCAGGAGGAACACCGGUGGCGAAGGCGGAUCUCUGGGCCAUUACUGACGCUGAGGAGCGAAAGCGUGGGGAGCGAACAGGAUUAGAUACCCUGGUAGUCCACGCCGUAAACGUUGGGAACUAGGUGUUGGCGACAUUCCACGUCGUCGGUGCCGCAGCUAACGCAUUAAGUUCCCCGCCUGGGGAGUACGGCCGCAAGGCUAAAACUCAAAGGAAUUGACGGGGGCCCGCACAAGCAGCGGAGCAUGUGGCUUAAUUCGACGCAACGCGAAGAACCUUACCAAGGCUUGACAUAUACCGGAAAGCAUCAGAGAUGGUGCCCCC
This 540-nucleotide ribosomal RNA is filed under the name Streptomyces sp. RNAcentral describes it as "bacterial SSU rRNA". It matches the Rfam family "Bacterial small subunit ribosomal RNA", at positions 480 to 1016 of the family's 1533-position model. The record is from RNAcentral. Lineage: Bacteria; Bacillati; Actinomycetota; Actinomycetes; Kitasatosporales; Streptomycetaceae.